Molecule: long non-coding RNA, 1362 nt
Organism: Rosa chinensis
Lineage: Eukaryota; Viridiplantae; Streptophyta; Magnoliopsida; Rosales; Rosaceae
Exons: 3
Source: RefSeq, a predicted model, not a curated record
GGGAAGAAGGAUGAGGUUCUUCAAUCUGUUGAAGAUUAAGGUUUACAACUUCGAUUUGGGGAUUUGUGGGCUACUCGAUUUAAGGGUUUCAGAGCCACUCGAUUUCGAUUUGGGGAUUUGUGGGCUACUUGAUUUAAGGGUUUCACGGCUGCUUGGUUUGGGGGUUUUGCUAAGUUUUUCUCUCCUUCUCUGAGCUUUGAUUCGACGCAACCUAGAAGGAGAAGCAAGCAUAGUUCAUGUUCAUACUUGCUCCUCCGAGUAUGGGUUUUGGGAUCAACAACCUAGAAGGAGAAGCAACUGCGAACCCUUUCGAUCUGUUAGGCGAUGACGACAACGACGACUUAAGUCAACUUGCUGCUAUGGUGGUGGUUCCUGCUGCCACCCAGCCCAAGGUGUUUUCAGCGUGAUAUGUCUGCCAAGUUCCCCUCCAAGCCUCUCCCUCCUGCUCAAGCUGGUUGUUUACCAACUUUGGCCACAACACCAGUCUGGAUAGGUCUAUACCAAGCUCUUUCGAAUGUGGUAAAUGAGAUGGGAGACUCAGUGCAAGAGCGAAGUAUGACUUGAGUGACAAUUUCAAUUUGAAGGCUAAUGCUCAGGCAAAGUUUUGUUGGUUUCAUUUUCAGACUACUCUUCCUUUUUGUGUGUGUGUGUGUGUGUGUAUUUUUAGAAAUGUGUAAGUAAUGACCUAACUGACAUUCUUUUCCCUUUCCAGCUUACAAAUGAGCAACAUAUGUCUCAUGGCAUUGUCAAUGUUGAUUACAAGGCCAGAUCACCCAUAACAUACUUAUAUAUUAUGUGUGUCUGUAUUCUGGCAUUAUAGUUAUUUUCUGAUCCUUAUAUAAACUAAAGAAUUGCAAGUGCCUAUGUCUAUUUUAAAUAGAUUCCAACCGUGGAAUGUAUCCAAAUGAAUUAGGAGUGGUAAUGAUACUUGCAUAUCUGCAUGUUCUCUAGGAAUACUUCUAUUGACUAUAUCAGUACCAUAAAAACUAGUACUAAAAUUGGCACCUUUUCAUUGGCAUGUACACUAAUUUGUGGCAACUGUGAUUCUGGAAUUUGGCUAGUCCAUGUGUUUGUGUGUGGGGUAUUUUGCUGCUGAAUUAUGUUAUGUUGUCGUUAUUCAGGGUCUUCUUCAAGUGAAAAAGACUUUGCAGAAAGAUUUGGGGAGAGAACCAAAUAAGGGUGAACUAGCUGAGGCAACAAGUAUGAGUGUGGUUCAAGUGAAAAAACACUUGGAGGUCGGUCGAGCUGCCAUAAACAAAGUCAUCAAGGUAUGUAUUUACUUACAUAUUAGUUUUACUAAUUUGGCUUCAAAUGUGAAGAAGAGAAACUAACCGGUGAUUGUUAUUUUCACCUAUUGCAGCA